GGGCAGGUGGUGAAAUGGUAGACACGCAUGCCUUAGGAGCAUGUGCCGCAAGGCUUGGGAGUUCAAGUCUCCCCCUGCCCACAA
Molecule: transfer RNA, 84 nt
Filed under: Candidatus Taylorbacteria bacterium RIFCSPLOWO2_12_FULL_47_20
Lineage: Bacteria; Candidatus Tayloriibacteriota
Description: tRNA-Leu
Rfam family: tRNA
About the family: Transfer RNA (tRNA) molecules are approximately 80 nucleotides in length. Their secondary structure includes four short double-helical elements and three loops (D, anti-codon, and T loops).
Source: RNAcentral